UGGUGUCUCAUUUACUACUGUAGUACAUUAUUCUGCAUACAGGAGUGAACGCCUUGUUGGUUGCGAUGUCAUGUUUUUUUUUACAUAGUGUCUAUUUAUCCUGGCUGUUUAUUGGCCCCGAUGUUAACCACGUAUACGGAUGCAGCGCAAUGAUCUCCUCCCCUUUGAUCUGCGGUCCUCCGGCCUCGUCUGGAGCCUAAAGCUUAUAAUAAACAGAUGUUCAAUUGUUGAUCGCUAUCAGUUGAGCUACAGAGACAUCUAUCUGUAUGGGACUGUGGUAGAUUAAAAUUUUAUAAAUUAUUUGUCUGAAAUUUUCCAUUUUUUGUCUGGAUUUUCCCUUGUAUUUUCUACAGACGUUAAUGAAUGCUCCACUAGAAAUGGUGGCUGUCAGCAAACGUGUACAAAUGUUAUAGGAAGUUUUGCGUGCUCGUGCCAGAAUGGCUAUACCCUUAACAACGAUGGGUUUAAUUGCGAUGACGUAGAUGAAUGUGCUUCCGGAAAUGGAGGGUGCGAGCAGACGUGUACGAAUUUCAUCCCGAGUUUUCAAUGUUCGUGCGAUGUUGGAUAUGGUCUGAAUGCCGAUGGGUUUGGGUGUGACGACGUGGAUGAAUGUGCCUCUACAAACGGCGGCUGUGACCAGACCUGCAAUAAUAGCAUUGGGAGCUUCCAGUGUUCCUGCUUGAACGGUUACAACCUAAAUGCUAACGCACUAGCAUGUGACGGUAAGGAUAUAUCUUUCUGGAUUUAACACUUUCUGGAUUAACUCGAUGCAAACAUAUUCGACGUCCAGAUAAAAGACAAAUCUCUGAAAGGAUUUAAUACGGAUAUUAAUUUCGGACGUUUCCAGUAA
Branchiostoma floridae (Florida lancelet) is the source of this 850-nucleotide long non-coding RNA. RefSeq lists it as uncharacterized. NCBI's taxonomy places the organism in Eukaryota, Metazoa, Chordata, Leptocardii, Amphioxiformes, Branchiostomatidae. The record is from RefSeq and is a predicted model, not a curated record. The transcript has 3 exons.